CUGCGUAUUCAAGACUCGUGGAGCUUCAAGAUCAGACGCGACGAGCACAGUCCACGCCACGUUUUCUAAGCACAGGCCACGCCACGCAAUGAUGCCCCAAGCCAAGUUCUCCAAUGCAACCGACCAUGAAUGAUGUCUAUCGCGAGGUGAAGGAAGGUCCAUUCCGCGGACUCCGUAUGGAAGGCGUGUGCCAAGCAGCCGGCCGACGACGUGGCGGAGUCCAAGGCACGGUACGCUUUGUGUCUCUUGUCGGGCGCCCCUAGGGGACCCUGUCGUUCGGUUCUACGACUGAGGGGGUUCAGCAUGAGGGCUUGUCGUCUUCGUUCAUUUUGCCAUUUCAACGCGAAAAAGAGAGGUUUUUAUAUUAAAUAGGCCUUCCCUCUCUUACGCUGUUGAAGGGCUUAAGAAAGUUGACGACAUGGUGCGGGAUGGAGUCCGGGACGUGCUGGGACGUGCUUCGGACUCGCCUUUGCCGUUAGUCUGACGGCUCGCACUUAACUUGAUGGGUUAACCCUCUAUGCUCUCCGGCGGCUGUCGUAGAAGAUUAGGCACUGAAGUAGAUGAUGUUACAACAAACAGCCUCCAGCAACAACCCAUCCAAAGUGAACAACGUAAUCUCACGUCAUA
Lineus longissimus is the source of this 627-nucleotide long non-coding RNA. RefSeq lists it as uncharacterized. The transcript has 4 exons. NCBI's taxonomy places the organism in Eukaryota, Metazoa, Nemertea, Pilidiophora, Heteronemertea, Lineidae. The record is from RefSeq and is a predicted model, not a curated record.